The sequence is a transfer RNA, 85 nucleotides long. It matches the Rfam family "tRNA". Rfam says of the family: Transfer RNA (tRNA) molecules are approximately 80 nucleotides in length. Their secondary structure includes four short double-helical elements and three loops (D, anti-codon, and T loops). Further hydrogen bonds mediate the characteristic L-shaped molecular structure. tRNAs have two regions of fundamental functional importance: the anti-codon, which is responsible for specific mRNA codon recognition, and the 3' end, to which the tRNAs corresponding amino acid is attached (by aminoacyl-tRNA synthetases). tRNAs cope with the degeneracy of the genetic code in two manners: having more than one tRNA (with a specific anti-codon) for a particular amino acid; and 'wobble' base-pairing, i.e. permitting non-standard base-pairing at the 3rd anti-codon position.
GGGCACGUGGCGGAAUCGGCAGACGCGCUGGAUUUAGGUUCCAGUGGGGCGACCCAUCCGAGUUCGAGUCUCGGCGUGCCCACCA